Gasterosteus aculeatus aculeatus (three-spined stickleback) is the source of this 2337-nucleotide long non-coding RNA. Lineage: Eukaryota; Metazoa; Chordata; Actinopteri; Perciformes; Gasterosteidae. The record is from Ensembl.
CUCCGACCCCCGCCACGGGCACAUGGUACGGUCCCCAUCGCAGGGUGGGGGAGCUGUGUGGGAGAGGAGCACAGAUUCCGUCUAACGGAGAAGCACGGAAAGGGAAACGGGCGAGAAACAUGAGUCGAAGUCGCCCUUGUGAAGGUUUCCACCUUGAAGGAAUAAAAAAUUUCCCGCAAUUCUAAGAAGGACGCGCAAAAGAGGACGUUGAAUGUGAGAGAAAAGAGAGCGGAAGCAGACGGAAGAAGAGGCGCGUCAAAGGCGUCUGACAGCAAGCUCGGGAACUUCGCUGGAUCUGGGUUCUCUACUUUUCAGACGUGUCUCAAGCUUUGGUUCGGUGGUGUUCGGACGUUGUUUGUGAUUUUUUUUGGGAGGGGGUGAUUUUAUUUCGGCGAGAUUACCUCAGACUUCCUCUUGGAUCGUGUUACGCGUUGGUAAACAGAAGGCGCCGUCGGAGUUUGGAAGUACGAUGCAGGCCGCCAGCGGCUUGUCCUCUGCGUUUCUUCAACACGGGAAGACAUUUGCCAUCUAACCCCGAACACCGGAUUUAAACUUUUGUCUCCCCCCCGGCUUUGUCACAAAAAGUGAAAGGUGUGCAGUUAAGGCGCAUUGCCCCUGCUUGUAAUCACGCUGUUCCUGCAAACCGCCCCGGCGGCCCGUGAGUUGUGGAUAUCCGGUGAGCGGAACUUCCCCCCCCCCGGAGCUGCACGUCUCCGUGGAAUCAACACGUCGCGGCGAGCUGGUUCGUUUACAGGCGUUUGUGUAAACGGCUUGUUGUCACAGAUACGGCCCCUGCGCGGCGUGCGGGGAUUACGUUAUUGUCUGGCUUUUCUAAAAAAAAAAGAGAAAAGGGCUCCUGUUCACCUUGGCAGAGGCCAGCCACCUCCCGCUGGAGGCGGGUGAGGGGGAGCGGAGGCCUCGGGGGGGCUGUUGGCUGUCCGGGCCCUGUGACAUUACCAGCGGAGGGCCGCGUGUGUCCGUGUCACUGGGAUUAAUCCGAGCUGUAGCAUCAUUCCCCCACUGGGUCCAGUGACGGGUCCAGCCCCAGAACGCGCCUGUAAUCGGAGCUAUAUUUAGCGUAAGGGAUGGGGUAAAAGCAGGCAGCGGGAAACCCAACUCCCCUCCACUUCCUUCUCUUGCCCCCCUGCUGUCACACUGCCUCGCUCAGCCGCCCCGGCAGCAUGCUGGGCGAGCCUGGUUAGCACACACGCGACUUGCAGCUAGUUAAUGUAUUUUCAGAAGUAGGGUGGAAUAAUAACAACAAUUGGAUGAACUUAUUCCGCUGCGAAAUAAAGGAUCCGUUUGAACCAUGCUGACCACGGCGUCUUGUUAACCCGGGAAUACUAGCUGCACUGUGUUCUACUGGUCAAGGCUGCACCGGACACACAAAAUACCCUGUACUGGAUUACGACUAAGAUGUCUGAAGAACUAUUAGCUGUGUAUUUUUGGUUGAACCUGCCCUGGACUAAGUGAACCCAUCACAAGCAAGUCGUACUCAGAGUAACCACCCAUUACCAUACAAAGAAAGAAAAGGCCUACUUUUUCUGACUAAUUUAAAAUAUCAGUCACCAGCGCCCUGGAGCAGUACUAAUCUCCAGCACACAGGAAGAAUGCAUGAAACUGCCGAAACCAACAAAAUAAAAAAGCUAACCUGAAUAACCAAAUAUUCUAACUUCCCAGACUCCCCAUACCCACAGAGAAACAUAAUAUAUAUGUAGAAUGAGAGAUCUAUAUCUAUAGUGUAACUCCACCGAAGACAGAGAUUACAUCCUUUUAUAUUUUUACUCCAGAGAGACAAGCUGCCUGUACACCAGUUGGUUGCCUUAGAAACCACAGUCACAAAAAAGGAAAAGAAAGAAGCCAGAGAAGAAGGUGCCUUUUGAUUGGUCGGUCGGUUUCCCACCAUUUCAAGAUUCAUUGAUUCAGUUGGAUGUAAACUGCUGAAGCGAACUCGGGGAUUGAAAAGACGUAUCUCAUGACAGACUGAAACUCCCUUCACGAGCCCCACCCACCCAUCAAAGCGUUUUGAUUGACAGUGUUUCCCUGCUGGAUUGAUUACUUGUCGAUCAUCUCCAUGGUGAUCACAUCAUCAUCAUCAUCCGUGGAGGACAAGCCCGUGCCCUCUCUCAGGAUGGUCCAAACAGAACCCUGGAUUGCCUCUGCCCUGCUGCGCAAGAACAAGAGGACGUCUUUUUGGGAAUACCGCUGAAAAGUGAAGCCAACAGUUAGCUUAACAUUUGCUGACUUGCUAGUGGAAGUCUGAAAUGUUUACUUUACGGGAGGAGACGGGCCGAUGCAAAACUCAACAGCCAUCACGGCGUCGUGCCGACCAACAGC